This 74-nucleotide transfer RNA is filed under the name Patescibacteria group bacterium. RNAcentral's name for it is "tRNA-Pro". It matches the Rfam family "tRNA". Rfam says of the family: Transfer RNA (tRNA) molecules are approximately 80 nucleotides in length. Their secondary structure includes four short double-helical elements and three loops (D, anti-codon, and T loops). The record is from RNAcentral.
CGGGGUGUAGCUCAGUUGGCUAGAGCGCGUGGUUUGGGACCAUGAGGUCGCAGGUUCAAGUCCUGUCUCCCCGA